AACGAACGCUGGCGGCAUGCCUAACACAUGCAAGUCGAACGAAACCUUUGGGUCUCGUUGCGCAAGUGUGCGUAACGCGUUGGAAAAUGGCCUUGGGAUCGGAAUAACAGUGGGACAUUGCUGCUAAUACCGGCUGAUGUCUUCGGACCAAGUAUUUAUCGCCCAGGAAUGAGCCCGCGUAGGAUUAGCUCGUUGUUGGGGUAAUGGCUUACCAGGGCGAGGAGCCUUAGCUGGUCUGUGAGGAUGAGCAGCGACACUGGGACUGAGAGACGGCACAGACUCGUAAGGGAGGAAGCAGGGGGGAAUAUUGGAGAAGGGGCGCAAGGCGGAGGAAGCAGGGCCGCGGGAGUGAUGAAGGUCUUAGGGUCGUAAAGCUCUUUUAGUAGGGAGGGUAAUGACAGUAGCGGGAGAAUAAGCACCGGCUAACUACGUG
This 433-nucleotide ribosomal RNA is filed under the name uncultured bacterium. RNAcentral's name for it is "partial 16S ribosomal RNA". It matches the Rfam family "Bacterial small subunit ribosomal RNA", at positions 29 to 507 of the family's 1533-position model. The record is from RNAcentral.